This 410-nucleotide ribosomal RNA is filed under the name uncultured microorganism. RNAcentral's name for it is "bacterial SSU rRNA". It matches the Rfam family "Bacterial small subunit ribosomal RNA", at positions 509 to 917 of the family's 1533-position model. The record is from RNAcentral.
CAGCAGCCGCGGUAAUACGUAGGGGGCGAGCGUUGUCCGGAAUUAUUGGGCGUAAAGCGCGCGCAGGCGGUCCUUUAAGUCUGAUGUGAAAGCCCACGGCUCCACCGUGGAGGGUCAUUGGAAACUGGGGGACUUGAGUGCAGGAGAGGAGAGCGGAAUUCCACGUGUAGCGGUGAAAUGCGUAGAGAUGUGGAGGAACACCAGUGGCGAAGGCGGCUCUCUGGCCUGUAACUGACGCUGAGGCGCGAAAGCGUGGGGAGCAAACAGGAUUAGAUACCCUGGUAGUCCACGCCGUAAACGAUGAGUGCUAAGUGUUAGAGGGGUCACACCCUUUAGUGCUGCAGCUAACGCGAUAAGCACUCCGCCUGGGGAGUACGGCCGCAAGGCUGAAACUUAAAGGAAUUGGCGGG